AACAUAAUAACUAAGAAAUUUGAUUGAUUCAUCCUAUGCAUCAGUCAAAAAUUGGUAGAUUGACCGAUCCAUCAAAAAAGAAAAUUAUUAUUAUGGUAUGUCAAGGAUAUUCCAAUAAUUAUAAAAAAAAGAUGAGAUUCUCCAUUGAAAUAUGAAAAAGGAUAGGAAAAUUUUUAAAAAUAUUUCUUCCGGGAAUUGGUUCCCCAAAAAAAAUAAAAAUAAAAGAAUAUAAUAAUUCAUCAAACCCACAACAUUGACAGGCCCGGCCCGCUCCGCUUCCGAAGGCCUUUAGCCGCGUCUUCCGCCGCUUCCCGACAAUCCACCCGCUCACAGGUUCCCCAAACCGUAUCCGAUCGAUCGAUUGGAACUCGUGCGCCGGUGAAAUCGGAGAAGAACAAGGGUGGUGAGUUGGGGGCUGAAGAAUACAGCAGAGAUGAGUUCUCGUCCUCCCCCUCUGGAGUUCGAGGUCUGCUACGAAGCGCAAUCCAAGUACAAUACAAGUUUCCCAGCUGCCUUGCCCCGUACUGUUCCUUGGCAUGCUUCAAGAGCAUAAAGCAAACUCAAGUGAUACGGGAGGCCUUAAAGGUUGGAAGCCUACGAAGAAUAAUACAGAAAAAUUGAUGGCAGUGAUGAUCCGGAAAAUGUAAUUGUUUGCCACCUUGAAAUCACUGUUGCCUUUUGCUCUUCUGGUCGAACACUCGUUGACUUCAGUUUAAUUCGUGAAGUAAGGUGUAUCUCUAAGCUUAAGCCCAAUCUGUAACAUUUCACAGCAAUUGACUGAAGCCAUGGAAGGACAGAUUCUUCAAUAUUUUGCGAGGAAGAUCCUCUCCAUUGUAAGUUCACAAGAUUGAGGUGUACGAGCUGAUAAAAAAACUAAUCGAGGUCGUCUCUCUCAUAUCAGUACCGAGGUAGGAUGAUCCUGACAACGCCUUUGAUUAGAUCUAUCCUACAGUGGCAGCCUCCUUAAUUGGGUUGAGAUCGAAGAUGACUUAAAACAUCAAAUAUAACUGUUUCUAGCUGGUUCAGGUUCCAGAGAGAUGCCGUAUCCUGACACAGCAUGAUGUGUCGAGAGUUUUUUUUUUAUAUUUGUAUUUAUUGUUAAAAUAUUUAUUUCCUAUAGCGUCCAU
Molecule: long non-coding RNA, 1127 nt
Organism: Musa acuminata AAA Group (dessert banana)
Lineage: Eukaryota; Viridiplantae; Streptophyta; Magnoliopsida; Zingiberales; Musaceae
Exons: 4
Source: RefSeq, a predicted model, not a curated record